CCCGUCACAUCACGAAAGUGGGUUGUACCAGAAGUCUGCGCGCUGACCCGCAAGGGAGGCAGCGGCCCAAGGUAUGACUCAUGAUUGGGGUG
Molecule: ribosomal RNA, 92 nt
Filed under: uncultured bacterium
Lineage: Bacteria
Description: partial 16S ribosomal RNA
Rfam family: Bacterial small subunit ribosomal RNA
Source: RNAcentral